This 425-nucleotide ribosomal RNA is filed under the name uncultured bacterium. Its description in RNAcentral is "bacterial SSU rRNA". It matches the Rfam family "Bacterial small subunit ribosomal RNA", at positions 354 to 776 of the family's 1533-position model. The record is from RNAcentral.
GUAGGGAAUCUUCCGCAAUGGACGAAAGUCUGACGGAGCAACGCCGCGUGAGUGAUGAAGGCUUUCGGGUCGUAAAACUCUGUUGUCAGGGAAGAACAUCCGGGAUAACCUCCCGGUCUGACGGUACCUGAUUAGAAAGCCCCGGCUAACUACGUGCCAGCAGCCGCGGUAAUACGUAGGGGGCAAGCGUUGUCCGGAAUUAUUGGGCGUAAAGCGCGCGCAGGCGGUUUCUUAAGUCUGGUGUGAAAGCCCGCAGCUCAACUGCGGAGGGCCACUGGAAACUGGGAAACUUGAGUGUAGGAGAGGAGAGCGGAAUUCCACGUGUAGCGGUGAAAUGCGUAGAUAUGUGGAGGAACACCCGUGGCGAAAGCGGCUCUCUGGCCUAUAACUGACGCUGAGGCGCGAAAGCGUGGGGAGCAAACAGG